RNAcentral lists this non-coding RNA (894 nucleotides) under Benthodesmus tenuis (slender frostfish). RNAcentral describes it as "partial 12S rRNA". It matches the Rfam family "Bacterial small subunit ribosomal RNA", at positions 307 to 1533 of the family's 1533-position model. Lineage: Eukaryota; Metazoa; Chordata; Actinopteri; Scombriformes; Trichiuridae. The record is from RNAcentral.
ACCCCCGUGAGAAUGCCCCCCCGUCUUCCGCCCUAAGACAAGGAGCUGGCAUCAGGCUCACCCAACCCUAGCCCACGACGCCUUGCUAAGCCACACCCCCAAGGGAACUCAGCAGUGAUAAACCUUACAGCCAUGAGUGAAAACUCGACUUAGUUAUAUAGUUAAGAGGGCCGGUAAAAUUCGUGCCAGCCACCGCGGUGAUACGAAAGGCCCAAGUUGACAGACCCCGGCGUAAAGCGUGGUUAGGGUAUACCAAAACUAAAGUCGAACGCCCUUAGGGCCGUAAUACGCGUAUAAAGGCAUGAAGCUCCACCACGAAAGUGGCUUUAAUAUCUCCUGACCCCACGAAAGCUAAGGCACAAACUGGGAUUUGAUACCCCACUAUGCUUAGCCGUAAACAUUGAUAGAAUAACACACCCCCUAUCCGCCUGGACACUACGAGCACUAGCUUAAAAUCCAAAGGACUUGGCGGUUCAUUAGAUCCCUCUAGAGGAGCCUGUUCUGUAACCGAUAAUCCCCGUUUAACCUCACCCUCUCUUGCCUAUCCCGUCUAUAUACCGCCGUCGUCAGUUUACCCUGUGAGGGCCUAAAAGUAAUCAAAAUUGGCACUGCCCAGCACGUCAGGUCGAGGUGUAGCAUAUGAGGGGGGAAGAAAUGGGCUACAUUCGCUAAUAUAGCGCAUACGAAUGAUGCAUUGAAAACAUGCGUACUGAAGGAGGAUUUAGCAGUAAGUGGAAAAUAGAGUGUUCCACUGAAACGGGCUCUGAAGAGCGCACACACCGCCCGUCACUCUCUCCUAACACCCAAAAAACAUUUAUCUAAAACCUACUUGACCGUAGAGGAGAGGCAAGUCGUAACAUGGUAAGUGUACCUGAAGGUGCACUUGGUAAAAAU